This 551-nucleotide ribosomal RNA is filed under the name uncultured bacterium. RNAcentral's name for it is "bacterial SSU rRNA". It matches the Rfam family "Bacterial small subunit ribosomal RNA", at positions 355 to 916 of the family's 1533-position model. The record is from RNAcentral.
UGGGGAAUAUUGGGCAAUGGAGGAAACUCUGACCCAGCGACGCCGCGUGCGGGAUGAAGGCCUUCGGGUUGUAAACCGCUUUCAGUAGGGAAGAAGCGAAAGUGACGGUACCUACAAAAGAAGCACCGGCUAACUAUGUGCCAGCAGCCGCGGUAAUACAUAGGGUGCAAGCGUUGUCCGGAAUUAUUGGGCGUAAAGAGCUCGUAGGUCGUUUGUUACGUCGGAUGUGAAAACCUGAGGCUCAACCUCAGGCCUGCAUUCGAUACGGGCAAACUAGAGUUUGGUAGGGGAGACUGGAAUUCCUGGUGUAGCGGUGGAAUGCGCAGAUAUCAGGAGGAACACCAAUGGCGAAGGCAGGUCUCUGGGCCAAUACUGACACUGAGGAGCGAAAGUCUGGGGAGCGAACAGGAUUAGAUACCCUGGUAGUCCAGACCGUAAACGGUGGGCACUAGGUGUGGGAUUCUAUUAACGAAUUCCGCGCCGUCGCUAACGCAUUAAGUGCCCCGCCUGGGGAGUACGGUCGCAAGACUAAAACUCAAAGGAAUUGACGG